AGUGGCGAACGGGUGAGUAACACGUGGGCAACCUGCCCAAAAGAGGGGGAUAACACUUGGAAACAGGUGCUAAUACCGCAUAACCAUAGUUACCGCAUGGUAACUAUGUAAAAGGUGGCUAUACUACCGCUUUUGGAUGGGCCCGCGGCGCAUUAGCUAGUUGGUAGGGUAAAGGCUUACCAAGGCAAUGAUGCGUAGCCGAACUGAGAGGUUGAUCGGCCACAUUGGGACUGAGACACGGCCCAAACUCCUACGGAAGGCAGCAG
RNAcentral lists this ribosomal RNA (266 nucleotides) under uncultured bacterium. Its description in RNAcentral is "partial 16S ribosomal RNA". It matches the Rfam family "Bacterial small subunit ribosomal RNA", at positions 94 to 354 of the family's 1533-position model. The record is from RNAcentral.